RNAcentral lists this long non-coding RNA (1076 nucleotides) under Medicago truncatula (barrel medic). RNAcentral describes it as "lncRNA gene19877". The record is from RNAcentral. Lineage: Eukaryota; Viridiplantae; Streptophyta; Magnoliopsida; Fabales; Fabaceae.
CUUCCGAUCACAUCAUAAAUCAUACACCAUGCAAAAAGACGCCGACGUCCAAUUUAUAAUUCCAGUGAUUGAUAAAGGGAAAACAAUAACUCCACAACCAAAUAAGAAGUAAAAAUGUUUAGUCUAACAGCUCAAGUUUGAUUAACGGACUGAAUAAAAUAAAAAAGCUACAAAAUUACAAGUUCUUCAAUAACAAAAAUCAUCUUGGCAUUGUUUUGCAGCUCCAAAAGACUCAACUCUUCAGCGAUACUGCAACACCGGAAAAAAAGGGGAGGGGACAACGUGAUGAGAACUCAUGCUAAAACAAGCAUAUAUUUAGAAAUCUAGACCAACAUCAAAAUAUUCACCUUAAUGAAACCAAUUUCCUUGGCAUUGCUGUGGAAGCAUUGCCUGCAACACAUGAGUCCGUACUUCCUGAUCAAUCCAUGAGAGUUUCCACACACACGGCUACAAAACACGGUAACAGUAGACAACAUUUACAAUCGAGCAAUAUCAAGGUUGUACAUGUAACUAAGAAAGAACUGUUAAAAUGUCACAGUAACUACUAAAUCAUACUCAUCUUAAGACAAUAGUUAUAACAUAACACUGAAAUUUACGACAAAAACUGCAUUGUUUAAGCUUUAAACCAAGUACAGACAUUAAAAGCGAAGAAUGAGUGAGAUUAUUUUGUAAAAAAAAAAAAGUGAAAUUUAAGGUAUCAGAAUCCGAUUUUAAUUUCAAAUUAAGGCAUCUUCAACUAACUAGUUACCUAAGUACUAAUUAGCAUUGGAGACGGUUUUAAUUCAUAAAUUUCUUUCAGAACAAAAUGAUAUUCAUGAUUGAGUGAAUCACAGUAAUCUAUUGAAAUCCUCAGAAAUUAUCAAAAUGAAAUCGAAUCCCAUCUAAUCAGAUAAACGGAUCGAAGAUUCAUUCUUCAAGGGAUGAAAGAAAAAAGGAAGAAAAUGAAGAGAUAGAUACCAUACCAUGUACGAGAACCAGGACCAUAGGUCUUUGGGUGAGAGUUCCAAACGUUGGAGUGACCCAUGGCUGUCUUCGAUUUCUUCCUCGGCGGCAGAGAUCUCAAAAACCCUAAAUAG